RNAcentral lists this ribosomal RNA (496 nucleotides) under uncultured bacterium. RNAcentral describes it as "partial 16S ribosomal RNA". It matches the Rfam family "Bacterial small subunit ribosomal RNA", at positions 28 to 506 of the family's 1533-position model. The record is from RNAcentral.
GACGAACGCUGGCGGCGUGCCUAAUACAUGCAAGUAGAACGCUGAAGAGAGGAGCUUGCUCUUCUUGGAUGAGUUGCGAACGGGUGAGUAACGCGUAGGUAACCUGCCUUGUAGCGGGGGAUAACUAUUGGAAACGAUAGCUAAUACCGCAUAACAAUGGAUGACACAUGUCAUUUAUUUGAAAGGGGCAAUUGCUCCACUACAAGAUGGACCUGCGUUGUAUUAGCUAGUAGGUGAGGUAAUGGCUCACCUAGGCGACGAUACAUAGCCGACCUGAGAGGGUGAUCGGCCACACUGGGACUGAGACACGGCCCAGACUCCUACGGGAGGCAGCAGUAGGGAAUCUUCGGCAAUGGGGGCAACCCUGACCGAGCAACGCCGCGUGAGUGAAGAAGGUUUUCGGAUCGUAAAGCUCUGUUGUAAGUCAAGAACGGGUGUGAGAGUGGAAAGUUCACACUGUGACGGUAGCUUACCAGAAAGGGACGGCGAACUACGU